GACGAACGCUGGCGGCGUGCUUAACACAUGCAAGUCGAACGGAAAGGCCCUGCUUUUGUGGGGUGCUCGAGUGGCGAACGGGUGAGUAACGCGUGAGUAACCUGCCCUUGACUUUGGGAUAACUUCAGGAAACUGGGGCUAAUACCGGAUAGGAGCUCCUGCUGCAUGGUGGGGGUUGGAAAGUUUCGGCGGUUGGGGAUGGACUCGCGGCUUAUCAGCUUGUUGGUGGGGUAGUGGCUUACCAAGGCUUUGACGGGUAGCCGGCCUGAGAGGGUGACCGGCCACAUUGGGACUGAGAUACGGCCCAGACUCCUACGGGAGGCAGCAGUGGGGAAUAUUGCACAAUGGGCGGAAGCCUGAUGCAGCAACGCCGCGUGCGGGAUGACGGCCUUCGGGUUGUAAACCGCUUUCGCCUGUGACGAAGCGUGAGUGACGGUAAUGGGUAAAGAAGCACCGGCUAACUACAUG
Molecule: ribosomal RNA, 468 nt
Filed under: uncultured bacterium
Lineage: Bacteria
Description: partial 16S ribosomal RNA
Rfam family: Bacterial small subunit ribosomal RNA
Source: RNAcentral